GACGAACGCUGGCGGCGUGCUUAACACAUGCAAGUCGAACGGUGAAGGGACCGGUUUUUGCUGGUUCUGGAUGAGUGGCGAACGGGUGAGUAACACGUGAGUAACCUGCCCCCUUCUUCUGGAUAACCGCAUGAAAGUGUGGCUAAUACGGGAUAUUCUGCGCCUGCUGCAUGGUGGGUGUGGGAAAGAUAUUGUUUCGGUGGGGGAUGGGCUCGCGGCCUAUCAGCUUGUUGGUGGGGUGAUGGCCUACCAAGGCGGUGACGGGUAGCCGGCCUGAGAGGGUGGGCGGUCACACUGGGACUGAGACACGGCCCGGACUCCUACGGGAGGCAGCAGUGGGGAAUAUUGCACAAUGGGGGAAAGCCUGAUGCAGCGACGCCGCGUGAGGGAGGGAGGCCUUCGGGUUGUAAACCUCUUUCGCCAGUGAAGCAGGCCUGUCCCUUUUGUGGGUGGGUUGACGGUAGCUGGAGAAGAAGCGCCGGCUAACUACGUG
RNAcentral lists this ribosomal RNA (493 nucleotides) under uncultured bacterium. RNAcentral describes it as "partial 16S ribosomal RNA". It matches the Rfam family "Bacterial small subunit ribosomal RNA", at positions 28 to 507 of the family's 1533-position model. The record is from RNAcentral.